AGUGAACGCUGGCGGUAGGCCUAACACAUGCAAGUCGAACGGCAGCACAGUAAGAGCUUGCUCUUACGGGUGGCGAGUGGCGGACGGGUGAGGAAUACAUCGGAAUCUACUUUUUCGUGGGGGAUAACGUAGGGAAACUUACGCUAAUACCGCAUACGACCUACGGGUGAAAGCAGGGGAUCUUCGGACCUUGCGCGAUUGAAUGAGCCGAUGUCGGAUUAGCUAGUUGGCGGGGUAAAGGCCCACCAAGGCGACGAUCCGUAGCUGGUCUGAGAGGAUGAGCAGCCACACUGGAACUGAGACACGGUCCAGACUCCUACGGGAGGCAGCAGUGGGGAAUAUUGGACAAUGGGCGCAAGCCUGAUCCAGCCAUACCGCGUGGGUGAAGAAGGCCUUCGGGUGGUAAAGCCCUUUUGUUGGGAAAGAAAAGCAGCAGGUUAAUACCCCGCUGUUCUGACGGUACCCAAAGAAUAAGCACCGGCUAACUUCGUG
RNAcentral lists this ribosomal RNA (492 nucleotides) under uncultured bacterium. RNAcentral describes it as "partial 16S ribosomal RNA". It matches the Rfam family "Bacterial small subunit ribosomal RNA", at positions 29 to 507 of the family's 1533-position model. The record is from RNAcentral.